This 429-nucleotide ribosomal RNA is filed under the name Pseudomonadota bacterium. RNAcentral describes it as "Proteobacteria bacterium partial 16S ribosomal RNA". It matches the Rfam family "Bacterial small subunit ribosomal RNA", at positions 355 to 776 of the family's 1533-position model. Lineage: Bacteria; Pseudomonadati; Pseudomonadota. The record is from RNAcentral.
UGGGGAAUAUUGGACAAUGGGCGAAAGCCUGAUCCAGUCAUGCCGCGUGUGUGAAGAAGGUCUUCGGAUGGUAAAGCACUUUAAGUUGGGAGGAAGGGCAGUAAGCGAAUACCUUGCUGUUUUGACGUUACCGACAGAAUAAGCACCGGCUAACUCUGUGCCAGCAGCCGCGGUAAUACAGAGGGUGCAAGCGUUAAUCGGAAUUACUGGUCGUAAAGCGCGCGUAGGUGGUUCGUGGAGUUGAAUGUGAAAGCCCCGGGCUCAACCUGGGAACUGAAUCCAGAACUGGCGGGCUGGAGUAGGGCAGAGGGUGGUGGAAUUUUCUGUGUAGCGGUGAGAUGCGUAGAUAUAGGAAGGAACAAAAGUGGCGAAGGCGACCACCUGGGCUCAUACAGACGCUGAGGUGCGAAAGCGUAGGGAGCAAACAGG